GACGAACGCUGGCGGCGUGCUUAACACAUGCAAGUCGAACGGAAAGGCCCUGCUUGCAGGGUACUCGAGUGGCGAACGGGUGAGUAACACGUGGGUGAUCUGCCCUGCACUUCGGGAUAAGCUUGGGAAACUGGGUCUAAUACCGGAUAGGAGAUAUCUUUAGUGUGGUGGUUGGAAAGUUUUUUCGGUGUAGGAUGAGCUCGCGGCCCAUCAGCUUGUUGGUGGGGUAAUGGCCUACCAAGGCGGCGACGGGUAGCCGGCCUGAGAGGGUGUACGGCCACAUUGGAACUGAGAUACGGCCCAGACUCCUACGGGAUGCAGCAGUGGGGAAUAUUGCACAAUGGGCGCAAGCCUGAUGCAGCGACGCCGCGUGGGGGAUGAAGGCCUUCGGGUUGUAAACUCCUUUCGCUAGGGACGAAGCGUUGUUGUGACGGUACCUAGAUAAGAAGCACCGGCUAACUACGUG
RNAcentral lists this ribosomal RNA (466 nucleotides) under uncultured bacterium. RNAcentral describes it as "partial 16S ribosomal RNA". It matches the Rfam family "Bacterial small subunit ribosomal RNA", at positions 28 to 507 of the family's 1533-position model. The record is from RNAcentral.